Molecule: long non-coding RNA, 245 nt
Organism: Ceratosolen solmsi marchali
Lineage: Eukaryota; Metazoa; Arthropoda; Insecta; Hymenoptera; Agaonidae
Exons: 3
Source: RefSeq, a predicted model, not a curated record
UUAUAAUUAUAAUGAAAGUCUUCAUCAUCUAUAUCAGCUUUAUUAUCUUGUCAAUAUUAAUCAUGAAUGGUGAUAACGCUAUAAAUAAAUUUUCAUGGUGCGAUGUAAAAUGUGGACUUCUUGGAUCUAUAGCAAAAAAAAUGUGUUUGAUUGACUGCAAAUAUCUGAGGAAGGGAUAAACGCAUUUAUUACUUAAAAAAAAUGUUUUUUUUUAAAUCCGAAUGAAUAUUUUUUCUAAAAGUAUC